Molecule: ribosomal RNA, 254 nt
Filed under: uncultured bacterium
Lineage: Bacteria
Description: partial 16S ribosomal RNA
Rfam family: Bacterial small subunit ribosomal RNA
Source: RNAcentral
UACAGGGGGGGCAAGCGUUGUUCGGAAUUACUGGGCGUAAAGGGCCAGUAGGCGGCCAACUAAGUCCGACGUGAAAUCCCCAGGCUUAACCGGGGAACUGCGUCUGAUACUGGAUGGCUUGAAUCCGGGAGAGGGAUGCGGAAUUCCAGGUGUAGCGGUGAAAUGCGUAGAUAUCUGGAGGAACACCGGUGGCGAAGGCGACAUCCUGGACCGGUAUUGACGCUGAGUGAGCGAAAGCCAGGGGAGCAAACGGG